Molecule: ribosomal RNA, 497 nt
Filed under: uncultured bacterium
Lineage: Bacteria
Description: partial 16S ribosomal RNA
Rfam family: Bacterial small subunit ribosomal RNA
Source: RNAcentral
GAUGAACGCUGGCGGCGUGCCUAAUACAUGCAAGUCGAGCGAACGGACGAGAAGCUUGCUUCUCUGAUGUUAGCGGCGGACGGGUGAGUAACACGUGGAUAACCUACCUAUAAGACUGGGAUAACUUCGGGAAACCGGAGCUAAUACCGGAUAAUAUUUUGAACCGCAUGGUUCAAAAGUGAAAGACGGUCUUGCUGUCACUUAUAGAUGGAUCCGCGCUGCAUUAGCUAGUUGGUAAGGUAACGGCUUACCAAGGCAACGAUGCAUAGCCGACCUGAGAGGGGGAUUCGGCAACCCUGAACCGAGACAAGGUUCAGAACCCCACGGGAGGCAGCAGUAGGGAAUCUUCCGCAAAGGGCGAAAGCCUGACGGAGCAACGCCGCGUGAGUGAUGAAGGUCUUCGGAUCGUAAAACUCUGUUAUUAGGGAAGAACAUAUGUGUAAGUAACUGUGCACAUCUUGACGGUACCUAAUCAGAAAGCCACGGCUAACUACGUG